UGGGGAAUAUUGCGCAAUGGGGGAAACCCUGACGCAGCAACGCCGCGUGAAGGAUGAAGGCUUUCGGGUUGUAAACUUCUUUGAUCGGGGACGAAAAUGACGGUACCCGAGGAACAAGCCACGGCUAACUACGUGCCAGCAGCCGCGGUAAUACGUAGGUGGCAAGCGUUGUCCGGAAUUACUGGGUGUAAAGGGCGUGUAGGCGGGACGGCAAGUCAGAUGUGAAAUACCUCGGCUUAACUGGGGUGCUGCAACUGAAACUGUCGUUCUUGAGUGUCGGAGAGGAAAGUGGAAUUCCCAGUGUAGCAGUGAAAUGCGUAGAGAUUGGGAGGAACACCAGUGGCGAAGGCGGCUUUCUGGACGAUAACUGACGCUGAGGCGCGAAAGCGUGGGGAGCAAACAG
This 403-nucleotide ribosomal RNA is filed under the name uncultured bacterium. RNAcentral describes it as "bacterial SSU rRNA". It matches the Rfam family "Bacterial small subunit ribosomal RNA", at positions 355 to 775 of the family's 1533-position model. The record is from RNAcentral.